CCUACGGGAGGCAGCAGUGGGGAAUAUUGGACAAUGGGGGGAACCCUGAUCCAGCCAUGCCGCGUGUGUGAAGAAGGCCCUCGGGUUGUAAAGCACUUUCAGUGAGGAAGAACGCCUGGUGGUUAAUACCCAUCAGGAAAGACAUCACUCACAGAAGAAGCACCGGCUAACUCCGUGCCAGCAGCCGCGGUAAUACGGAGGGUGCGAGCGUUAAUCGGAAUUACUGGGCGUAAAGCGCGCGUAGGUGGCUUGAUAAGCCGGUUGUGAAAGCCCCGGGCUCAACCUGGGAACGGCAUCCGGAACUGUCAAGCUAGAGUGCAGGAGAGGAAGGUAGAAUUCCCGGUGUAGCGGUGAAAUGCGUAGAGAUCGGGAGGAAUACCAGUGGCGAAGGCGGCCUUCGGGACUGACACUGACACUGAGGUGCGAAAGCGUGGGUAGCAAACAGGAUUAGAUACCCCGGUAGUC
RNAcentral lists this ribosomal RNA (465 nucleotides) under Vreelandella stevensii. RNAcentral describes it as "partial 16S ribosomal RNA". It matches the Rfam family "Bacterial small subunit ribosomal RNA", at positions 338 to 795 of the family's 1533-position model. Lineage: Bacteria; Pseudomonadati; Pseudomonadota; Gammaproteobacteria; Oceanospirillales; Halomonadaceae. The record is from RNAcentral.